RNAcentral lists this RNase P RNA (299 nucleotides) under Chloroflexi bacterium RBG_13_46_9. RNAcentral describes it as "partial RNase P RNA component class A". It matches the Rfam family "Bacterial RNase P class A", at positions 69 to 367 of the family's 367-position model. From Rfam's summary of the family: Ribonuclease P (RNase P) is a ubiquitous endoribonuclease, found in archaea, bacteria and eukarya as well as chloroplasts and mitochondria. The record is from RNAcentral. Lineage: Bacteria; Bacillati; Chloroflexota.
GGGUACCGGGUAAUACCCGGGAGGGGUGACCCUACGGAAAGUGCCACAGAAACAUACCGCCCUGAUUGAUAAAAUCGGGGUAAGGGUGAAAUGGUGAGGUAAGAGCUCACCAGCGGAUGGGAAACCAUCCGGCUGGGAAAACCCUACCUUGAGCAAGGCCAAAUAGGGGAACAUACGGGCGUCCGGACCGGUUCCCGGGUUGGUCGCUUGACCCCGCCGGCAACGCCGGGGCUAGAGAGAUGGUCACCGUCCCGAUUCAUAUCGGGAUACAGAACUCGGCUUACAGGUCUACUUAACCC